Small nuclear RNA from Bos indicus x Bos taurus (hybrid cattle), 107 nucleotides. NCBI's taxonomy places the organism in Eukaryota, Metazoa, Chordata, Mammalia, Artiodactyla, Bovidae. The record is from Ensembl.
GUCCUCACUUCGGCAGCACAUAUGCUAAAAUUGGAAUGACACAGAGAAGAUUAGCAUGGCCCCUGCACAAAGAUGACAUGCAAAUUCGUGAAGUGUUCCAUAUUUUU